AGGGUGGAUUUGAAAAGAGACAUGAUCCUAUACACACUGAGUUGGAAUGUGGCAGCAGCUCCUCUGAUAUUACCGUUGUAGACAAGAGUACCAACACAGGCACUAUAAGAUGACAGACAAGAGUACUAUUACUGCUUUGUUAUGUUUAGCGACAUCAGGGAAAAGUACUAUACAACCGAGAAUGAUAACGAUGAAUUGUGUUCUGAAAGAGUGAAGGUGUUGAUGAAACUUUGUAAAUAUAGAUGGCAAAAAGCAUCUGUUGAACUUAAAUUAUGACUAAAAUUAUUAUUAUAGGCAUAUAAAAUAAUAUCUUGUGUUUGAUGUAAUAACAAUAGUCUCUAGAGUUUUUGUUUCAUCCCCUUUUGACUUCAUCACAAAAUAAAUGUGUGAUUUGACCUCUUUGGUGGUAGAAGUA
Long non-coding RNA from Amphimedon queenslandica, 415 nucleotides. RefSeq lists it as uncharacterized. The record is from RefSeq and is a predicted model, not a curated record. Lineage: Eukaryota; Metazoa; Porifera; Demospongiae; Haplosclerida; Niphatidae. The transcript has 3 exons.